Molecule: ribosomal RNA, 402 nt
Filed under: uncultured bacterium
Lineage: Bacteria
Description: bacterial SSU rRNA
Rfam family: Bacterial small subunit ribosomal RNA
Source: RNAcentral
GGGGAAUAUUGGGCAAUGGGGGAAACCCUGACCCAGCAACGCCGCGUGAAGGAUGAAGGUCUUCGGAUUGUAAACUUCUUUGAUCAGGGACGAAGAAAUGACGGUACCUGAAGAACAAGCCACGGCUAACUACGUGCCAGCAGCCGCGGUAAUACGUAGGUGGCAAGCGUUAUCCGGAUUUACUGGGUGUAAAGGGCGUGUAGGCGGUUCUGCAAGUCAGAUGUGAAAUUCCCGGGCUUAACCCGGGCGCUGCAUCUGAAACUGCAGAACUUGAGUACUGGAGAGGAUAGUGGAAUUCCUAGUGUAGCGGUAAAAUGCGUAGAUAUUAGGAGGAACACCAGUGGCGAAGGCGGCUAUCUGGACAGUAACUGACGCUGAGGCGCGAAAGCGUGGGGAGCAAAC